UUAGCUCAGAUGGUAGAGCAAUGGACUGAAAAUCCAUGUGUCCCUGGUUCGAUCCCUGGA
RNAcentral lists this transfer RNA (60 nucleotides) under Flavobacterium sp. MEB061. RNAcentral describes it as "tRNA-Phe". It matches the Rfam family "tRNA", at positions 7 to 64 of the family's 71-position model. Rfam says of the family: Transfer RNA (tRNA) molecules are approximately 80 nucleotides in length. Their secondary structure includes four short double-helical elements and three loops (D, anti-codon, and T loops). Further hydrogen bonds mediate the characteristic L-shaped molecular structure. tRNAs have two regions of fundamental functional importance: the anti-codon, which is responsible for specific mRNA codon recognition, and the 3' end, to which the tRNAs corresponding amino acid is attached (by aminoacyl-tRNA synthetases). tRNAs cope with the degeneracy of the genetic code in two manners: having more than one tRNA (with a specific anti-codon) for a particular amino acid; and 'wobble' base-pairing, i.e. permitting non-standard base-pairing at the 3rd anti-codon position. Lineage: Bacteria; Pseudomonadati; Bacteroidota; Flavobacteriia; Flavobacteriales; Flavobacteriaceae. The record is from RNAcentral.